GAUGGCGACCGGCGCACGGGUGAGUAACACGUAUCCAACCUGCCGAUAACUCGGGGAUAGCCUUUCGAAAGAAAGAUUAAUACCCGAUGGUAUAAUUAGACCGCAUGGUCUUGUUAUUAAAGAAUUUCGGUUAUCGAUGGGGAUGCGUUCCAUUAGAUAGUAGGCGGGGUAACGGCCCACCUAGUCUUCGAUGGAUAGGGGUUCUGAGAGGAAGGUCCCCCACAUUGGAACUGAGACACGGUCCAA
This 246-nucleotide ribosomal RNA is filed under the name uncultured bacterium. Its description in RNAcentral is "partial 16S ribosomal RNA". It matches the Rfam family "Bacterial small subunit ribosomal RNA", at positions 87 to 334 of the family's 1533-position model. The record is from RNAcentral.